GAUGAACGCUGGCGGCGUGCCUAAUACAUGCAAGUCGAGCGAACAGACGAGGAGCUUGCUCCUCUGACGUUAGCGGCGGACGGGUGAGUAACACGUGGAUAACCUAUCUAUAAUACUGGGAUAACUUCGGGAAACCGGAGCUAAUACCGGAUAAUAUAUUGAACCGCAUGGUUCAAUAGUGAAAGACGGUUUUGCUGUCACUUAUAGAUGGAUCCGCGCCGCAUUAGCUAGUUGGUAAGGUAACGGCUUACCAUGGCAACGAUGCGUAGCCGACCUGAGAGGGUGAUCGGCCACACUGGAACUGAGACACGGUCCAGACUCCUACGGGAGGCAGCAGUAGGGAAUCUUCCGCAAUGGGCGAAAGCUUGACGGAGCAACGCCGCGUGAGUGAUGAAGGUCUUCGGAUCGUAAAACUCUGUUAUUAGGGAAGAACAAAUGUGUAAGUAACUAUGCACGUCUUGACGGUACCUAAUCAGAAAGCCACGGCUAACUACGUG
Molecule: ribosomal RNA, 497 nt
Filed under: uncultured bacterium
Lineage: Bacteria
Description: partial 16S ribosomal RNA
Rfam family: Bacterial small subunit ribosomal RNA
Source: RNAcentral